UGAUUGCUUUGCUUCUAGAUCAGCACCCUCUCCCCCCUCCUCCUCGCACGCCUUCUGCUUGCGUAAAUGUCUCAGUGCCAAAUUCUGUUUUGUCGAUCAUUUCUCCGACCGUAUGUUCUUCUUCGGCACUUCGUCUUCAGAUAGCGCCCGUGGUUCCGCAGUUUAUGUAUACAUCGUAGCAGUGACAGCGACUCAACGGAGUUGGGGGCUAGCCAUCAAUCCCAUCUAGGGUCCUUAGGCGCCGCCAUCAUCGGAUCUUCUAGGCCACGGCAAGGCAUCAGAUCUUUUAGUUAAUUGUUGAAGGAUACUGCAGGUUGUUUUGCAAGGAAAAUGUAUAAGAUCAGAAGAGAAACAGCGGCUGCCAUAAUUCUUCAGAAGUAUGCAAGAAGGUUACUGUUACAACGGAAUUACCAUGAAACAUGUUCAGCAGCUCUGCUUAUCCAGUCUUGUAUUCGAGGGUUUAUUGCUCGCCGCUAUUUCUCAGCCAUCAGGGAGCAGAAGGCUGCG
Long non-coding RNA from Hordeum vulgare subsp. vulgare (domesticated barley), 507 nucleotides. RefSeq lists it as uncharacterized. The record is from RefSeq and is a predicted model, not a curated record. The transcript has 2 exons. Lineage: Eukaryota; Viridiplantae; Streptophyta; Magnoliopsida; Poales; Poaceae.